AGCGAACGCUGGCGGCAGGCCUAACACAUGCAAGUCGAACGAACUCUUCGGAGUUAGUGGCGGACGGGUGAGUAACACGUGGGAACGUGCCUUUUGGUUCGGCAUAACUCAGGGAAACUUGUGCUAAUACCGAAUGUGCCCUUCGGGGGAAAGAUUUAUCGCCAUUAGAGCGGCCCGCGUCUGAUUAGCUAGUUGGUGAGGUAACGGCUCACCAAGGCGACGAUCAGUAGCUGGUCUGAGAGGAUGACCAGCCACACUGGGACUGAGACACGGCCCAGACUCCUACGGGAGGCAGCAGUGGGGAAUCUUGCGCAAUGGGCGAAAGCAUGACGCAGCCAUGCCGCGUGAAUGAUGAAGGUCUUAGGAUUGUAAAAUUCUUUCACCGGGGACGAUAAUGACGGUACCCGGAGAAGAAGCCCCGGCUAACUUCGUG
This 433-nucleotide ribosomal RNA is filed under the name uncultured bacterium. RNAcentral's name for it is "partial 16S ribosomal RNA". It matches the Rfam family "Bacterial small subunit ribosomal RNA", at positions 29 to 507 of the family's 1533-position model. The record is from RNAcentral.